UACGGAGGGUGCGAGCGUUAAUCGGAAUUACUGGGCGUAAAGCGCGCGUAGGCGGUUUGAUAAGUCAGAUGUGAAAUCCCCGGGCUUAACCUGGGAAUGGCAUUUGAUACUGUCUGACUCGAGUGUGGUAGAGGGAAGUGGAAUUCCGCAUGUAGCGGUGAAAUGCGUAGAGAUGCGGAGGAACACCAGUGGCGAAAGCGGCUUCCUGGACCAACACUGACGAUGAGGUGCGAAAGAGUGGGGAGCAAACAGG
Molecule: ribosomal RNA, 253 nt
Filed under: uncultured bacterium
Lineage: Bacteria
Description: partial 16S ribosomal RNA
Rfam family: Bacterial small subunit ribosomal RNA
Source: RNAcentral